GGGGCUGAAUGGGGUACUGGUGUCCUCCACGGUCUUCAAAACCGUUUGAGCGGCUCGUGCAGUCGCUGCUGGGUUCGAUUCCCAGGUGGUCCCGCCA
This 97-nucleotide transfer RNA is filed under the name Bacillota bacterium. RNAcentral's name for it is "tRNA-Sec". It matches the Rfam family "Selenocysteine transfer RNA". The record is from RNAcentral. Lineage: Bacteria; Bacillati; Bacillota.